CGGUAUGUUAAACAGUGCCCUCCACAAAAUGAUCAUUUGGCUUUGAAUUCUCUCUGUUUUCUUGACAAAUUAGCUUUUAGGAUUGGAUAUUGAGAACUGUUCAAUAGGGAAUUGUUCAUCACUCAUUUCAAAGCCAAUAAAUACUCAUUUAAACUAAUGUUUCACACCUCCUUUGCACCAUCACCAUGUGAACCAUCAGAAGGCAAUGGAUGGAAUUUGCAUGACGUGCUCUGAGUUGUGCCAUUCUUAUUGGGAGGCACUUCAGGGUUGGUUUCUUUUUCAAGCAAUGAGUAUCAGAUCUUGGAAGUGUCUCUUGGAAGUGAUGGUGUCACCAGUGUGUGUCGUGGUGACCUCUCUGUUGACCUCAUCUCCCCAUCCACCACAUGCUCACAGCUCUUGGGGACCCAUUGAAAUGAUGCCUCCAUCUCAGGCCUCAAGAGCCAGACCCUAAUGACAGUGCAGUCAUGGCGACAGGACCUGGUACAUGGAAACUGAAGACUCGUCAGGUCCCUUGAAGAAGUUCAUGUCUAUGGGGAAAGGGCACCACAUCCUCUUUCCCUUUCCAAACAGCAGGGUGAGGCCUCUGUCCAGGAGCUCAUCCAGAUGCAAUUUGAGGUGGAGAACUGGCAGAGGGUCACGGCCGAUGACGUACAAGCCCCUCUCCCAAUAAAGUUGUGAACCCCUCAGAUUGCGCACCCGUUUCAAUUUCCCAUGAAACACAUUUACAUUGAUCAAAGUGUGAUGUUGAAACACAGCGGGAGGCGGCCAGCUCUCGGUACAUGAGGAAUGAGUGUUAAAUGAGCGCGGGGGGCAGCAUGUGCUGCAGCGUUACCAUAGAGACAACUGUGUGGUCCCAGGGUCAGGUCAGAUCAUCGCAGGUAGUGUCAGUCUGUUGAGAGAGAAAAAAAGAGACAGACAGAGAGAGAGAGGGAGAGAGAGAUCCUUGAUGCACCACAUGCCCUACAUGGAUUGAGCCAUGCCUAUCAGGGUUUUUAUUUGAAAAUGCAAAACUCUACUGGUACUGGAUGUCACUGAACCACAGAACACUAAAUGGCACAUGGAUAUUAACUUCUUGUUUGCGAUUCAGCAUUCCUCUGACUAAACUCGGAAAUGAUUGUGUAUACCCCGCCUCCAUUCUGUGAUGUGCAUACAGGUCCACUGCCAGUA
This is a long non-coding RNA of Anguilla rostrata (American eel), 1167 nucleotides long. RefSeq lists it as uncharacterized. The record is from RefSeq and is a predicted model, not a curated record. The transcript has 3 exons. Lineage: Eukaryota; Metazoa; Chordata; Actinopteri; Anguilliformes; Anguillidae.